GGCCCUGUGAAAUGUCUCAUGUGAGAUUGGCUGCUGCUUGUGGAUAUUUGAAGCUUGCUGAACAUCCUGCAUAUCACGAAUAUCUUAACAUAAACUGUUUUCAAAACUUGAUUUCCAUUAUAAAGGUAUGUUUAGUAGAUUGAAAUUGUCGCCUUCUUGGUUGAUUUUAAAACACACUAUCGAGCUACAUAUUCUUCAUUUCUGGUCGUAUUCAGCUACAUAUUCUUCAUUUCUUGUUUUAUUGAACUACAUAUUCUUCAUUUCUGGUCGAACUGAGCAUAUUUUUCGUGUCGACCAGUAUUGAGCUACAUAUUCUUCAUUUCUGGUCGUAUUGAGCUACAUAUUCUUCAUUUCUGGUCAUAUUGAGCUACAUAUUCUUCAUUUCUGGUCGUAUUGAGCUACAUAUUCUUCAUUUCUGGUCGUAUUGAGCUACAUAUUCUUCAUUUCUGGUUGUAUUGAGCUAUAUAUUCUUCAUUUCUGGUCUUAUUGAGCUAUGUACGGUACAUAUUCUUCAUUUCUGGUCGUAUUGAGCUACAUAUUCUUCAUUUCUGGUCUUAUUGAGCCAGAUACCGUAAAACUAUUCGUAAUAUACGGUAACUGUUUGAAUGGUUUAACAUACCAGGAAAUAAAAAGUUAAUUCAACCUCUUCACUGUAACGACUAAAUUACUUUAAGCUUCAGAAUGAUUUAGAAUCAAUGAAGAUGGCGCCCAAUAACACGUUAUGACGUCGUAGUUUGCAAAGAAAACUGCCAAACAUUACUUCGCUCUCAGUUAAUAUUCCAUGUGCAAUGGACCAAUCCCCAAUUAACCAAAAUUUUGAUCUAAACAAGUCCGCUCUUUCAUGCUGUGAUGAAAUUUUGUCUAUCACAAAAUUAGUAAUAUUCCAAAGUUUCGUUGCGAAAUGUUGUAAAAUGCGGAUAAUAUAGCCUUGCGAAGUUUGUAAUUUUCAGUCAUUUUGUAUUACGCACGGAAGUGGUAACCAUUUCCCGUUUGUAAUCUAAAAUGACUGAAAAUUGCAAACUUUGCAAGGCUAUAUUAUCCGCAUUUUACAACAUUUUGCUAUGAAACUUUGGAAUAUUACUAAUUUUGUGAUGCUCUUUCAAGCUGUGAUGACAUUUUUGUCUAGACUUGUUGUGUUCAAAAUUUUGGUUAAUUGAGGGGAUGGGUACAUUAGUGGCAUGUUUGAUCUAAGGCUAAGCGUGGUAAACUAAUUGACUUGGUACCACUGAUGCUCGGUAUUAAAUAUGACUGAAAUCUGGAGCUUGUUCAAUAUUGUUCCGGACGAGUUCGCUGCCGUGUGUAAAACUACCACGGUUCUAUUUGUUUGGACGGGAUCAUCCUUGAACCUUGUUACCUGGCAUUAUGGAACUUAGUUCAGAGUUAAUUUAGACGAUUUUUAUAUAUUAAUUUUACUAAAUUGAAUUAUAAUAUAGCAUUUGUAAAUUCUGAACGCUGAUUGGCUAAGAGCCGUGUUGAUAUAACUCCAUGUCAACACGGGAAAUUUUCCGCCGCUUGUAAACACGGAAAUUUUUCUUAUUCUUCGGGCUUUUGGCAUUGCUAUAUUAUAAAACAAAUAUAAAACAUUUUUUCCGUAUUGAUAUAUAGUUAUAUCAACACUUGUGGAAGUUGGGAAAACUCGAAAUUGUAUGAAAACACUCCGCCCUUCGGGCGUCGUGUUUCCACACAAUUUCUCGUUUUCCCAAUUUCCACUCGUGUUGAUAUAACUGUAUAUCAACACGGAAAAUGUUUUAUAUUUAACAAAUAAAAACGUGAGAACAGGUGGAACCGUACAAUCUUUCGUUACCUUCCUCCGUAUUGCCAGAACCAGCCGAUAAUAUAGAGCGUUUGCACUCAUUCCCCAGGGACCAACUCAAUAAAAGCCAUGUUGGUGUUCCAGACAAAAGAGUCUAAUUAAAAUUCUUUUGACGGCUGUGACGUCAUGUGCAAACGCUCUAUAAGGAACUAUAGCAGAAAACAAAAAAAGAAAGGAAAAAUGAAGGCGUCUUGAAAAAUAUGGACUAAAACAAGACGUAAUUUUUUUUAAAGAUGUUUUUAUUUUUGGGUUUUGUUUUAUUCUUUAGUGUGAAACAGUCAUGACUGAUUCUUGGAAAAUGAGAUAUCGUUUCGGAUGUCAUGUUCUCGCUGUCUGUUUCUCUAUUAUUACGCAUCAUUUUUCAUGGCUGUAAGAGGCGCUCUGUACAAGUAACUCACCGAUAUGUUUCAAUGUUUUCUAGGACACGUGCAGUCAAGUUCGAGAAAAAAUUGCUAAGAAGUUAUCAAAAGGACUGGAUUCCCUAAAAUUGCCAUUGGAAUAUCUCGCAUUGUUUUCAUUUUAUGGCAAAGAAACGUCGAAGGAUAUAAGACAACAAG
Molecule: non-coding RNA, 2370 nt
Organism: Paramuricea clavata
Lineage: Eukaryota; Metazoa; Cnidaria; Anthozoa; Malacalcyonacea; Plexauridae
Source: the annotation of a GenBank genome assembly